GGGUUGUGAGGUUAAGCGACUAAGCGUACACGGUGGAUGCCCUGGCAGUCAGAGGCGAUGAAGGACGUGCUAAUCUGCGAAAAGCGUCGGUAAGGUGAUAUGAACCGUUACAGCCGGCGAUGUCCGAAUGGGGAAACCCAGUGCAAUUCGUUGCACUAUCGUUAACUGAAUACAUAGGUUAACGAGGCGAACCGGGGGAACUGAAACAUCUAAGUACCCCGAGGAAAAAGAAAUCAACCGAGAUUCCCCCAGUAGCGGCGAGCGAACGGGGAGCAGCCCAGAGUCUGAAUCAGCUUGUGUGUUAGUGGAACGGUCUGGAAAGUCCGACGGUACAGGGUGAUAGUCCCGUACACCAAAAUGCACAGGCUGUGAACUCGAAGAGUAGGGCGGGACACGUGGUAUCCUGUCUGAAUAUGGGGGGACCAUCCUCCAAGGCUAAAUACUCCUGACUGACCGAUAGUGAACCAGUACCGUGAGGGAAAGGCGAAAAGAACCCCGGCGAGGGGAGUGAAAAAGAACCUGAAACCGUGUACGUACAAGCAGUGGGAGCACCUUCGGGUGUGACUGCGUACCUUUUGUAUAAUGGGUCAGCGACUUAUAUUCUGUAGCAAGGUUAACCGUAUAGGGGAGCCGCAGGGAAACCGAGUCUUAACUGGGCGUUAAGUUGCAGGGUAUAGACCCGAAACCCGGUGAUCUAGCCAUGGGCAGGUUGAAGGUUGGGUAACACUAACUGGAGGACCGAACCGACUAAUGUUGAAAAAUUAGCGGAUGACUUGUGGCUGGGGGUGAAAGGCCAAUCAAACCGGGAGAUAGCUGGUUCUCCCCGAAAGCUAUUUAGGUAGCGCCUCGUGAAUUCAUCUUCGGGGGUAGAGCACUGUUUCGGCUAGGGGGUCAUCCCGACUUACCAACCCGAUGCAAACUACGAAUACCGAAGAAUGUUAUCACGGGAGACACACGGCGGGUGCUAACGUCCGUCGUGAAGAGGGAAACAACCCAGACCGCCAGCUAAGGUCCCAAAGUCAUGGUUAAGUGGGAAACGAUGUGGGAAGGCACAGACAGCCAGGAUGUUGGCUUAGAAGCAGCCAUCAUUUAAAGAAAGCGUAAUAGCUCACUGGUCGAGUCGGCCUGCGCGGAAGAUGUAACGGGGCUAAACCAUGCACCGAAGCUGCGGCAGCGACACUAUGUGUUGUUGGGUAGGGGAGCGUUCUGUAAGCCUGCGAAGGUGACCUGUGAGGGUUGCUGGAGGUAUCAGAAGUGCGAAUGCUGACAUAAGUAACGAUAAAGCGGGUGAAAAGCCCGCUCGCCGGAAGACCAAGGGUUCCUGUCCAACGUUAAUCGGGGCAGGGUGAGUCGACCCCUAAGGCGAGGCCGAAAGGCGUAGUCGAUGGGAAACAGGUUAAUAUUCCUGUACUUGGUGUUACUGCGAAGGGGGGACGGAGAAGGCUAUGUUAGCCGGGCGACGGUUGUCCCGGUUUAAGCAUGUAGGCUGGUUAUCCAGGCAAAUCCGGAUAAUCAAGGCUGAGGUGUGAUGACGAGGCACUACGGUGCUGAAGUAACAAAUGCCCUGCUUCCAGGAAAAGCCUCUAAGCAUCAGGUAACAUCAAAUCGUACCCCAAACCGACACAGGUGGUCAGGUAGAGAAUACCAAGGCGCUUGAGAGAACUCGGGUGAAGGAACUAGGCAAAAUGGUGCCGUAACUUCGGGAGAAGGCACGCUGGUGUGUAGGUGAAGUCCCUGCGGAUGGAGCUGAGACCAGUCGAAGAUACCAGCUGGCUGCAACUGUUUAUUAAAAACACAGCACUGUGCAAACACGAAAGUGGACGUAUACGGUGUGACGCCUGCCCGGUGCCGGAAGGUUAAUUGAUGGGGUUAUCCGUAAGGAGAAGCUCUUGAUCGAAGCCCCGGUAAACGGCGGCCGUAACUAUAACGGUCCUAAGGUAGCGAAAUUCCUUGUCGGGUAAGUUCCGACCUGCACGAAUGGCGUAAUGAUGGCCAGGCUGUCUCCACCCGAGACUCAGUGAAAUUGAACUCGCUGUGAAGAUGCAGUGUACCCGCGGCAAGACGGAAAGACCCCGUGAACCUUUACUAUAGCUUGACACUGAACAUUGAGCCUUGAUGUGUAGGAUAGGUGGGAGGCUUUGAAGCGUGGACGCCAGUCUGCGUGGAGCCAACCUUGAAAUACCACCCUUUAAUGUUUGAUGUUCUAACGUUGGCCCCUUACCGGGGUUGCGGACAGUGUCUGGUGGGUAGUUUGACUGGGGCGGUCUCCUCCCAAAGCGUAACGGAGGAGCACGAAGGUUAGCUAAUCCUGGUCGGACAUCAGGAGGUUAGUGCAAUGGCAUAAGCUAGCUUGACUGCGAGCGUGACGGCGCGAGCAGGUGCGAAAGCAGGUCAUAGUGAUCCGGUGGUUCUGAAUGGAAGGGCCAUCGCUCAACGGAUAAAAGGUACUCCGGGGAUAACAGGCUGAUACCGCCCAAGAGUUCAUAUCGACGGCGGUGUUUGGCACCUCGAUGUCGGCUCAUCACAUCCUGGGGCUGAAGUAGGUCCCAAGGGUAUGGCUGUUCGCCAUUUAAAGUGGUACGCGAGCUGGGUUUAGAACGUCGUGAGACAGUUCGGUCCCUAUCUGCCGUGGGCGCUGGAGAAUUGAGGGGGGGCUGCUCCUAGUACGAGAGGACCGGAGUGGACGCAUCACUGGUGUUCGGGUUGUCAUGCCAAUGGCACUGCCCGGUAGCUAAAUGCGGAAGAGAUAAGUGCUGAAAGCAUCUAAGCACGAAACUUGCCCCGAGAUGAGUUCUCCCUGAGACUUUAAGUCUCCUGAAGGAACGUUAAAGACGAUGACGUUGAUAGGCCGGGUGUGUAAGCGCAGCGAUGCGUUGAGCUAACCGGUACUAAUGAACCGUGAGGCUUAACCUUACAACGCCGAAG
RNAcentral lists this ribosomal RNA (2925 nucleotides) under Klebsiella pneumoniae. RNAcentral's name for it is "bacterial LSU rRNA". It matches the Rfam family "Bacterial large subunit ribosomal RNA". The record is from RNAcentral. Lineage: Bacteria; Pseudomonadati; Pseudomonadota; Gammaproteobacteria; Enterobacterales; Enterobacteriaceae.